Molecule: long non-coding RNA, 1446 nt
Filed under: Phascolarctos cinereus (koala)
Lineage: Eukaryota; Metazoa; Chordata; Mammalia; Diprotodontia; Phascolarctidae
Description: lncRNA (ENSPCIG00000017838.2)
Source: RNAcentral
CCGAGACCUUGACAGUGAUGAUUGGAAUGAUGGUGUGCAACGCUGACUGUGAGCUGAGGGGGUUUCAUUGCCGAGGGAUAUGUGAAGUGACUCAGAUUGCAAGGGAAAUCUUAAAGUCUUACUUGAGUUGUCCUCCCCACUGCCUGCCGCCUGGAGGAUACAGAAUCAAGGCUCUCUCACCCACUCUUUUAACAACCUACUCAGACUGUUAGCUCCUCACUGCCGGUCACAGUCAAGGUCAGGGCCUUUGCUUACAAUCUCAGCGUCUCUCUCAAGCCUCAGGUGUUCUUGCUUUCCUCCUCCUCCCUGAGGUUAAUGACUAAACUGGCCACCUGGAAGCCAAGCGCACCACUGGGGAGCAAGGUCAAUUGCAGGGCUCUCCUCCAGGCCUUCCCUGGCUGGAACCCACCCACCUUAUCCACUUGGAUGAGAAUUUCUCUGAAUGUCUCUGCUCUGGGCUGGGAGCCUCCCCUGGGACCUACUCAGAUGAACGCCUCUCAGAAGCAUGGAUGGGCAGGUUUUAUCUUCAGACCCAUCCUUUUGUGACAGACUUCCCAACCUCUCAGAGGGGACUUGUCUGAAAUGUAACAAGAGGCAAGCUGACUCCUGCUCAUACUCGGGCAAUCUGACCCCCACAGAUAAGGAGGAAACUGGUGAAAGAACUACUUCUGUGUAUGCACGGAGUUUGAGAGAUACCUGGUCACUCCGGGGCCUCUGGAGCAAGAUGUUCACUGGAUGAAAACAAAAACCAAAGCUACCAGAAGGCAGCCUUGCUGAAAUUCCACCUCCUCCCUGAAGCCUUCCCCGAUGACCACAGUCCAGGCAGACAAUGUCUUUUACAGAUAUUUACUCUGCACUUUGGACUUGUGGAAUCUUGUUUUCUCUUCCAUUGGGUCUCUCUGUAGCAUGGUCUUACACAGUCCUGAGACCAUAAUACUUACUUAAUCACUUUAAUAGUGCAAGGCAGCAACGACAGUGACAAGUGCACUCAAUUGGGAGUCAGAGGACUCUAGUUCAAAUCAUGUCUCUGUCCCCUGCUAGUGUGACUUUGGACAAGUCACUCAUCUUCUUAGAUGACCUGCAAGGCCCCUCCUAGCUCUAAAUCUAUGGUCCUAACUCUCGAUUCAUUGAAAACUUACCCAUUACUUGAGAAGCCACUUUGAAAUGAAGUUUUGGCGCAAAGGAAAGAGCUUUGGAUUCAGAAUCAAAAUACUUGGAUUUGAAUCCUGGUGCUACUGCUUUCUACCUGUGUAACCUUGGACAAGUCAUUUAAUCUUAUGUAGGAUCAGUUUUCUUACCUACAAAAUGAAGGUAGUAUGACUAAUGGACUCCAAGGUCCCUUGGAACUAAAUGCUGUGACCCUGUGAAUCUUGGGGAUGAGUGGACUGGUGGGUGCUUUCUCACAGUAAGCCCCUCAGAGGAGAAUAAAGGUAGCUUACACCACCA